CCUACGGGUGGCAGCAGUGAGGAAUAUUGGUCAAUGGCCGGAAGGCUGAACCAGCCAUGCCGCGUGAAGGUCAGUGCCCUAUGGGCGUUAAACUACUUUUGUGCGGGAGCAAUAAUGGUCACGUGUGGCCAGACGAGAGUACCGUACGAAUAAGCAUCGGCACACUCCGUGCCAGCGGCCGCGGUAGUACGGGGGGUGCAAGCGUUAACCGGAUUUGUUGGGUUUAAAGGGUGCGUAAGCGGUGUUGUAAGUCAGCGUGGGAAUGCCCCGGCUCAACGGGGUGAAGUGCCUUUGAUACUGGCUGGCUGGAGUGCGGAUGCGGUGGGAAGAAUGUGUGGUGUAGCGGUGAAAUGCAUAGAUAUCACACAGAAUACCGAUUGCGAAGGCAUCUCCCGGAUCCGCGAUUGACGCUGAUGUACGAAAGCGUGGGUAUCAAACAGGAUUAGAUACCCGAGUAGUC
RNAcentral lists this ribosomal RNA (460 nucleotides) under uncultured bacterium. Its description in RNAcentral is "partial 16S ribosomal RNA". It matches the Rfam family "Bacterial small subunit ribosomal RNA", at positions 338 to 795 of the family's 1533-position model. The record is from RNAcentral.